UACGUAGGGGGCUAGCGUUGUCCGGAUUUAUUGGGCGUAAAGAGCGUGUAGGCGGCCAGGUAGGUCUGGUGUGAAAACUCGAGGCUCAACCUCGAGAUGUCGAUGGAAACCGUCUGGCUAGAGUCCGGAAGAGGAGUGUGGAAUUCCUGGUGUAGCGGUGAAAUGCGCAGAUAUCAGGAAGAACACCUAUGGCGAAGGCAGCACUCUGGGACGGUACUGACGCUGAGACGCGAAAGCGUGGGGAGCGAACAGG
Molecule: ribosomal RNA, 253 nt
Filed under: uncultured bacterium
Lineage: Bacteria
Description: partial 16S ribosomal RNA
Rfam family: Bacterial small subunit ribosomal RNA
Source: RNAcentral